CUUGGGCCUUCCCAAGGCAGAGCUCUUCACUCCCAGAGCCCAGCUGGAGCUGCCCAAGGACACAGAGAAACUUAAACACAUGGACUUGUGUUAUCACCACACGUCAAAGGAAACCUGAGCUGCACCCCAGCCAUACUGGGGUUGGGGGUGUCUUACUGGAUUUUCUGUUUAUAGUAGCUGAACAUCCUUUGCUGAACAGUAUUUUCAGCAUUAGAGCUUGAAGGACACAUUCUCCCUGAAUUUAAGGUUGCUGGUGGCCAACAAUGAGCAACCAGACCUGGCUUCAGGACACGAACAUGACAGUCUUGGAGGAGGAAAAAGGCCAUUUUCCCAGACAACGAGGCAUUUGGAGGGAGACAACACCCCCCUCUCCCUCCAUGGACUGAAGCCGUGGAGAGCUGUGAUGCUGCUGGGACUUCACCCAGGUUUGCUUUUCAGUCCAACCCCACGAGCUCCUCUGCAGGAAGACCUUGGGCAACCAAAAUGCCUUAUUG
This is a long non-coding RNA of Lepidothrix coronata (blue-crowned manakin), 494 nucleotides long. RefSeq lists it as uncharacterized. The transcript has 3 exons. Lineage: Eukaryota; Metazoa; Chordata; Aves; Passeriformes; Pipridae. The record is from RefSeq and is a predicted model, not a curated record.